This 301-nucleotide ribosomal RNA is filed under the name uncultured bacterium. Its description in RNAcentral is "partial 16S ribosomal RNA". It matches the Rfam family "Bacterial small subunit ribosomal RNA", at positions 509 to 807 of the family's 1533-position model. The record is from RNAcentral.
CAGCCGCCGCGGUAAUACGAAGGGUGCAAGCGUUAAUCGGAAUUACUGGGCGUAAAGCGUGCGUAGGCGGUGAGUUAAGUCUGCUGUGAAAUCCCCGGGCUCAACCUGGGAAUGGCAGUGGAUACUGGCUCGCUAGAGUGUGUCAGAGGAUGGUGGAAUUCCCGGUGUAGCGGUGAAAUGCGUAGAGAUCGGGAGGAACAUCAGUGGCGAAGGCGGCCAUCUGGGACAACACUGACGCUGAGGCACGAAAGCGUGGGGAGCAAGCAGGAUUAGAUACCCCCGUAGUCCCUGUCUCUUAUAC